This 433-nucleotide ribosomal RNA is filed under the name uncultured bacterium. RNAcentral describes it as "partial 16S ribosomal RNA". It matches the Rfam family "Bacterial small subunit ribosomal RNA", at positions 29 to 507 of the family's 1533-position model. The record is from RNAcentral.
AACGAACGCUGGCGGCAUGCCUAACACAUGCAAGUCGAACGAGACCUUCGGGUCUAGUGGCGCACGGGUGCGUAACGCGUGGUAACCUGCCCUUAGGUUCGGAAUAACUCCCCGAAAGGGGUGCUAAUACCGGAUAAUGUCUUCGGACCAAAGAUUUAUCGCCUUUGGAUGGGCCCGCGUUGGUUUAGCUAGUUGGUAGGGUAAAAGCCUACCAAGGCGACGAUCCAUAGCUGGUCUGAGAGGAUGAUCAGCCACACUGGGACUGAGACACGGCCCAGACUCCUACGGGAGGCAGCAGUGGGGAAUAUUGGACAAUGGGCGAAAGCCUGAUCCAGCAAUGCCGCGUGAGUGAUGAAGGCCUUAGGGUUGUAAAGCUCUUUUACCCGGGAUGAUAAUGACAGUACCGGGAGAAUAAGCUCCGGCUAACUCCGUG